This is an RNA transcript of Cornus florida, 1608 nucleotides long. RefSeq lists it as uncharacterized. The record is from RefSeq and is a predicted model, not a curated record. Lineage: Eukaryota; Viridiplantae; Streptophyta; Magnoliopsida; Cornales; Cornaceae. The transcript is spliced from 3 exons.
UUAUGAGAAAAAAAAAAAACUACUCGAUAUUUAUGGGAGUAUAUAUUCUCUCUCUUACUUUCCUCGUUUAGAUCCAAAUCCCAAUUGCAUCAUAUCGCCAUUACUUCCUAAGAGAUAUAGAUCACAGCUCUCUCCACCAUGGAUCUUCCACCCGAAGACCUCCAAUUCCUCACCAUAUCAGACAUCUUCAAAGAAUCAAUCUCAAUCCCUAAACAAUCGCCCAAAACCUUCUACCUCAUAACCCUAACCCUAAUCUUCCCUCUCUCCUUCGCCAUCCUCGCCCACUCCCUCUUCACCCACCCACUCUUCUCCCAAAUCGAGUACCGCUCCGGCUCUCACACCCACCAGUGGACCAAGCUCCUCCUCUUCCAAUUCUGCUAUCUCAUCUUCCUCUUCGCUUUCUCUCUCCUCUCCACAGCUGCUGUCGUCUUCACUGUCGCCUCUCUCUACACCUCCAAGCCCGUCUCUUUCUCCUCCACCAUCUCCGCCAUUCCCAGCGUCUUCAAGCGCCUCUUGAUCACCUUCUUAUGGGUUUCCAUCACCAUGAUUGCUUACAACAUUGUGUUUGUCUGUUUUCUGCUCCUCCUCGUCAUCGCCGUGGAUACCCAGAACACGUUUCUGUUCGUAUUCGCCUUGAUUGUGAUCUUCAUUCUUUUCUUGGUUGUGCAUGUGUACAUCACUGCGUUGUGGCAUUUGGCUAGCGUCGUGUCGGUGCUCGAACCCGUUUACGGGUUUGCCGCGAUGAAGAAGAGCUAUGAGUUGUUGAAGGGGAAGAUUGGGAUGGCGUUUGUGCUAGUUUUCGGGUAUAUGGCGAUUUGCGGGGUGAUUAAUGGAGUUUUCGGAUCGGUGGUGGUUCAUGGUGGGCUUUUUUAUGGGGUGUUUGCGAGAAUUACUGUUGGUGGGUUCUUGGUUGGAGUGUUGGUGAUUGUGAAUUUGGUGGGUUUGCUAGUGCAGAGUGUUUUUUACUAUGUUUGCAAGAGCUUUCAUCAUCAAGGGAUUGACAAGAGUGCUCUGUAUGAUCAUCUUGGUGGCUAUCUUGGAGAGUAUGUGCCUCUCAAAAGCAGCAUUCAGAUGGAAAACUUGGACGUCUGAGACCAUGAUAUUACUUCGUUUUCGGGCCGGGCUGCAGAAUCCAACUGUGCAUUGCUUUCAUUAGGAACUGUAAUUUCAUCACCAACAAAAGACUUAUCUGGAAAUUUUGAUAGGAUCUGACCAUGUAGCUUGAGAUAAAGUAACAUCGGCGGGGAGUUGUUGCACGUUGUCACAGAAGCUUACAGCAAGUUGAAGGCAAAUUUUUUGUCUCUUCAAAAUCUUGGAAGAUACAAGAACCAAUUUUUUUUGAGUUUCGAGAAUUUAAGAAUAACCUAAAUCUGAUGGUUAGUUUGCUGAUAGUGCAUGCUAGAUUGAGGUUUGGGACACUUGGUUACUGUAAUGAGUAAACAUCAAUCUUCUUUUAAUGCAUCCUUAAAGUUCAAAUCAGAAUGUGUGUGAAAACCACCAGGGAAUCAAGUUCUCUGUGAAAUGAUAACCUUUAUAACAGUGUAUUCCUUUUCAAGUAAUACCUUUGAAAGAUAUCCCACUUCAAAUGGGUGGGGCGUCACCUAAUUA